RNAcentral lists this ribosomal RNA (284 nucleotides) under uncultured Staphylococcus sp. RNAcentral's name for it is "partial 16S ribosomal RNA". It matches the Rfam family "Bacterial small subunit ribosomal RNA", at positions 83 to 354 of the family's 1533-position model. Lineage: Bacteria; Bacillati; Bacillota; Bacilli; Caryophanales; Staphylococcaceae. The record is from RNAcentral.
CCUUUGACGUUAGCGGCGGACGGGUGAGUAACACGUGGGUAACCUACCUAUAAGACUGGGAUAACUUCGGGAAACCGGAGCUAAUACCGGAUAAUAUUUCGAACCGCAUGGUUCGAUAGUGAAAGGUGGUUUUGCUAUCACUUAUAGAUGGACCCGCGCCGUAUUAGCUAGUUGGUAAGGUAACGGCUUACCAAGGCGACGAUACGUAGCCGACCUGAGAGGAUGAUCGGCCACACUGGAACUGAGACAACCGGUCCCAGACUCCUACGGGGAGGCAGCAGGCG